This 615-nucleotide long non-coding RNA is filed under the name Pogona vitticeps (central bearded dragon). Its description in RNAcentral is "lncRNA (ENSPVIG00000007861.1)". The record is from RNAcentral. Lineage: Eukaryota; Metazoa; Chordata; Lepidosauria; Squamata; Agamidae.
GAAGCAUAUAGAAAAAAUACUUCUAAAGCACAGGACUUGAAGGGACUCCCCUCUCUUGAAAACAGAUGUGCUUCAGAUGUUGACCGGUAUCAAGAGCAUGAAGGAAAGGUACUUCUGUCACCACCAGGCUUUCCCUCCCAAGUCCAUGCAGAUUUGGUUACUGCAAAAGCAGCAUGCUUGGAGCUUAGAGAGCAGUGUACGGGGAUCACUGUCUGGAAUAAUGCCUAUGCACUUGCCAGGGGAACUGUUUUGCUAAAAAGUAAAGAGAGAGAGUCUGCAGCAUAUAUCAAAUCAGAUUGCUCCUUAGGCUACUUUGGAAAAAACUGUUCCUCUGUUUGCAGCAGCUGCCAUGAAGAUGAAUUAUGCAAUCCUUACACUGGGGGUUGUGACAACAUCCAUUCAUGCCGCUCUCAGGACUCACCUGCUGUUUGUGAACAAGCUUUGGAGAGUGCGUGGUGCCCACACUUUUCUGGUUGGAAAUAUUGGGGAACCAACUGCUAUUACUUCAGUACCGAGGCUGAAGCCAACUGGACCAAUGCUCGGAAACACUGUAGAAGAUUCAGAAGUGCAGACCUUAUGUGGAUGGACAACCCAAGUGAAAUAGUAUUUAUAUGA